RNAcentral lists this ribosomal RNA (506 nucleotides) under uncultured bacterium. RNAcentral describes it as "partial 16S ribosomal RNA". It matches the Rfam family "Bacterial small subunit ribosomal RNA", at positions 29 to 523 of the family's 1533-position model. The record is from RNAcentral.
AGUGAACGCUGGCGGUAGGCCUAACACAUGCAAGUCGAACGGCAGCACAUAGGAGCUUGCUCCUUUGGUGGCGAGUGGCGGACGGGUGAGGAAUACAUCGGAAUCUACUCUGUCGUGGGGGAUAACGUAGGGAAACUUACGCUAAUACCGCAUACGACCUACGGGUGACAGCAGGGGACCUUCGGAGCUUGCGCGAUUGACUGAGCCAAUGUCGGAUUAGCAAGUUGGGGGGGUAAAGGCCCACCAAGGCGACGAUCCGUAGCUGGUCUGAGAGGAUGAUCAGCCACACUGGAACUGAGACACGGUCCAGACUCCUACGGGAGGCAGCAGUGGGGAAUAUUGGACAAUGGGCGCAAGCCUGAUCCAGCCAUACCGCGUGGGUGAAGAAGGCCUUCGGGUUGUAAAGCCCUUUUGUUGGGAAAGAAAUCCAUCUGGUUAAUACCCGGGUGGGAUGACGGUACCCAAAGAAUAAGCACCGGCUAACUUCGUGCCAGCAGCCGCCGUAA